RNAcentral lists this ribosomal RNA (253 nucleotides) under uncultured bacterium. RNAcentral describes it as "partial 16S ribosomal RNA". It matches the Rfam family "Bacterial small subunit ribosomal RNA", at positions 524 to 776 of the family's 1533-position model. The record is from RNAcentral.
UACGAAGGGUGCAAGCGUUGCUCGGAAUUAUUGGGCGUAAAGGGUAGGUAGGUGGUCACACAAGUCUGGGGUGAAAUCCCUGAGCUUAACUCAGGAAGGGCCUUGGAAACUGCGUGACUAGAGUAUUGGAGAGGGUCGUGGAAUUCCCGGUGUAGCGGUGAAAUGCGUAGAGAUCGGGAGGAACAUCAGAGGCGAAGGCGACGACCUGGACAAUAACUGACACUAAACUACGAAAGCGUGGGGAGCAAACAGG